GUGCCAGCAGCCGCGGUAAUACCUGCAGCCCAAGUGGUGCUCGUUAUUAUUGGGUCUAAAACGUCCGUAGUCGGCUGAGUAGAUGCCCGGGUAAAUCGAAGCGCUUAACGUUUCGAAUUCCGGGUAGACCGCUCGGCUAGGGAGUGGGAGAGGUGCGAGGUACUCUGAGGGUAGGGGUAAAAUCCUGUAAUCCUUGGGGGACCACCAGUGGCGAAGGCGUCGCACUAGAACACGUCCGACGAUCAGGGACGAAGCCCUGGGGCGCAAACGGGAUUAGAAACCCCCGUAGUCC
This 292-nucleotide ribosomal RNA is filed under the name uncultured bacterium. RNAcentral's name for it is "partial 16S ribosomal RNA". It matches the Rfam family "Archaeal small subunit ribosomal RNA", at positions 455 to 747 of the family's 1478-position model. The record is from RNAcentral.